RNAcentral lists this ribosomal RNA (413 nucleotides) under uncultured bacterium. RNAcentral's name for it is "bacterial SSU rRNA". It matches the Rfam family "Bacterial small subunit ribosomal RNA", at positions 352 to 782 of the family's 1533-position model. The record is from RNAcentral.
CAGUUGGGAAUCUUGGACAAUGGGCGAAAGCCUGAUCCAGCCAUGCCGCGUGAGUGAUGAAGGCCUUAGGGUUGUAAAGCUCUUUUGCCAGGGAAGAUAAUGACUGUACCUGGAGAAUAAGCCCCGGCUAACUUCGUGCCAGCAGCCGCGGUAAUACGAAGGGGGCUAGCGUUGUUCGGAAUUACUGGGCGUAAAGCGUGCGCAGGCGGUUUCUCAAGUCAGGGGUGAAAGCCCGGAGCUCAACUCCGGAAUUGCCCUUGAAACUGUGAAGCUAGAGUGCGGGAGAGGUGAGUGGAAUUCCCAGUGUAGAGGUGAAAUUCGUAGAUAUUGGGAAGAACACCGGUGGCGAAGGCGGCUCACUGGCCCGUUUCUGACGCUCAUGCACGACAGCGUGGGGAUCAAACAGGAUUAGA